GAUGAAGAACGUAGCGAAAUGCGAUAAGUAGUGUGAAUUGCAGAAUUCCGUGAAUCAUCGAAUCUUUGAACGCACAUUGCGCCUUCUGGUAUUCCGGAAGGCAUGCCUGUUCGAGAGUCAUUAACAACCGUUUCGAUCCCUUUCUUUCAGAAAUUACAAAGAGGAAAAGGGUUUGGUUAUGGUGGAGGAGGGAAAGGGAGCGUUUAGCCUGUAAAAAAAGAGGCUGUGUUCCGCCUCCCCCCCAAAAUUGUACAGGCGGUCGUGUGCGCCCACGCAUCGAGGUGUUGUAAAAGCUGCCACGGCACUUUUCACCUGUGCAGUGCGAGAUUGGCCAGCCGGUUUAAAAACCCCUCCAAACAAUCAAAGGUUGACCUCGGAUCAGGUAGGGAUACCCGCUGAACUUAAGCAUAUCAAUAAGCGAGGA
This 424-nucleotide unclassified non-coding RNA is filed under the name soil metagenome. RNAcentral's name for it is "partial contains 5.8S ribosomal RNA, internal transcribed spacer 2, and large subunit ribosomal RNA". The stretch from base 1 to 120 matches the Rfam family "5.8S ribosomal RNA", at positions 35 to 154 of the family's 154-position model. The record is from RNAcentral.